Molecule: ribosomal RNA, 481 nt
Filed under: uncultured bacterium
Lineage: Bacteria
Description: bacterial SSU rRNA
Rfam family: Bacterial small subunit ribosomal RNA
Source: RNAcentral
AUUGAACGCUGGCGGCAUGCCUUACACAUGCAAGUCGAACGGUAACGCGGGGCAACCUGGCGACGAGUGGCGAACGGGUGAGUAAUAUAUCGGAACGUGCCCAAUAGUGGGGGGUAGCCCGGCGAAAGCCGGAUUAAUACCGCAUGAGACCUGAGGGUGAAAGCGGGGGAUCGCAAGACCUCGCGCUAUUGGAGCGGCCGAUAUCAGAUUAGGUAGUUGGUGAGGUAAAGGCUCACCAAGCCAACGAUCUGUAGCUGGUCUGAGAGGACGACCAGCCACACUGGAACUGAGACACGGUCCAGACUCCUACGGGAGGCAGCAGUGGGGAAUUUUGGACAAUGGACGCAAGUCUGAUCCAGCCAUUCCGCGUGCAGGACGAAGGCCUUCGGGUUGUAAAGUUCUUUGUCAGGGAAGAAAGUUUCUGUGCUAAUACCAUAGAACGAUGACGGUACCUGAAGAAUAAGCACCGGCUAACUACGUG